CCAUUACACAGAGAAGGACACCAAGAAAGGUCAAGUAAGUUGCCCAAGGUCUCAGAGCAAAUAAAUGAUCCAGGUGAAGGUGGAGGCUGCAAACGUGUCCAAGCGUUCCCCCGGGACCGCUCUCAAGGCCACACUGUUUCACUGGCGCUCCCCUUAGGGCUGCCCUGGACGGGGUCUUGGCGCCUCCACUAAUGGUGGAGCGGAAGGUUGAGGGAGGAAGAUGGGGGUGGGGUGCGUACUCGAGGGGCAAGCGCUCUUUCAGGGACUUAAGCCUCAAUAAUCCAAGUUUUCGUUUACUAACGACCCUUAGAAAAGCAGCCAGACAGAAAAUCUGGGCAUCGCCAGAGUCUCAACUUCUGCUGACCCUUUGCCAUGCUGUAGAAGGCGCAUGUGGACGCACCUGCCUCCCAUAACCGCUGAGGCCCUGCGGGCGGUAAGUUCCCAUUAGCAAGCGCCGGGCAUAAACACCGGUGGCACGUUGUAGAAAAACCAGUGUCCCAGCUCUUUGAAAACGCGAGGCCCCGCUCUCCUUAGAGCAACGUCUGAGGGGCCACACUCCCCAGGAAAUCUCCGGACGUUUCUGGGCAUCCCCGGAAAAGCUUUUCUAACCGCCACUCACUGUCCCCGGGUAAUAGGCUUGCGCGGCCAGAGGUUGGCGCGUUUACCACCAGGGAAAACGCUGCGGGCGCUCCCCGCCCAGCCUGUCGCCGGGACAGCCCGGCCCCAAGGGCUCCUUCCGGCCCUCCCUGGGCGGCUGCCGAGACCUUGUCCCCACUCGGCGCCACAGGCCAAAGCCCGACUCCUCCGACCUUCGCUGUGCAACUGAUUAUAUUGCGAAAGGCGCAGAGUCCGGGACCAGGUCCAAAAUUUAUGGAUCCAGCGGCGCUCCCAACAAGCCCUCGGCUGUCUCUGAGUAUGUGGCUGCGUACUUGACAUCUUCUGGUUACUGCAGGAUAGGAGCUGCGAAUUUGACAUCCUCUGGUUACUGCAGAAUAGGAGCACGUCUGUGACCUUCUUUAGUUUCUGUUACUUCAAAGAAAAAGGGAGAGAGAACCAAAGGUGGCUGUGGGACCAGGAGUGACCAUUGGGUCAAAAAACAACGUUUAUUUUCCUUUCUUUUGUCUUAAAAAAAAAAAAUCUUCUGGCCAUACAAGGCCGCUAGCGCCCAAGGACAGAAUUGUGCGAGGUAUGUCAAGCUGUCGAUGUGCUCCAGGCCGCAAGCCUGGUAGCUGGUUGAAUUGACGGACCUUCCUCACGUGAGGAGCACCAGGAUCGGGUCCGCGGUCUUGUCCCCCUUCCGGGCCUGCGAGGCCCGGCUCCGCCGGCCGGGGAAGAAAAGAGAGAGCCAGGAAGGGUUCUGCGCACUCCGGGCGCCUCGCCUCGCCGCUGCCCCCGCGGGAACCUGAACCCUUUAUAGAAUGACCCAGCUCCUGAAUCCUGACCCGCGCGCACGAGUUGGAGAAUGGACAAGCGGCAGGGCACCUCGCCACUUUAAAGGCCAAGUCUCUGAGGGUCUGGGCCUCUAUCUUUUCCCCACGCUCCGGGUGUCUUUGUCCCCCAGCCACCAGAAACCACGUGGGCCCCCACAAGCUGGGGAACGCUCAGGUUCUACCUGAGCUGGGGAACGUCCAGAGUUCUACCGGUCACCCGCCAAAGAGGCGGCAGGGACUCCAGGAACACAAAUGAGGUCCGCCACUUCUCAUUUUUCAAAAUGUGAAAGUUUCUAAGGCACAGAGUUCAUAUGGGUUCACUCGUCAUGAUAAGCAACAACGACCUACUAAGGAGACAUUUGUAGGUAGAAGUUCCUUAAGACCAACCAGGAGCAAGUCUGAUUGCAGGCUUUCAAGAGUCUCCUUUUCCAAGAGGGAAAAUUAAGGUUUCUACAGAAGAGUCUAGAAGCUUAAGCCUGCACUUCCUUGGCACAGCCAGCGGCUCCAGCCUCCUGGGUCAGCAUCUCUUCCUCACCUUGAGCUCUCUCCAUGUCCCUACGGUCCCCUUGGAUUACUCAUUGGGCUCCCCAAGGGCAGACUCAGGGUCCCCUUCUGCCCGGGGGGAACAACGCUGUUCCCAGCCUGGUCGCCAACUCCAUCUCACCCCCGCACCUCGGGCCACGGUCCUUUAAGACUAUCAUCCCUUCACUUGAUGGGACUACCGCCCAUCCAGCUGUCCCGGUGCUAGCAGCCCAAAGCCCCCAGAACACUCAAGGUCCUGCCCACCUGCCCUGUGCAGUCAGCAAGCAAGCGCGGCCCCAGUCCUCCCGUAAAGAUCAAAAUCGGAAUCGAGGCGAAGACCGGAAACAUAGUAAGGGGGCUCACACACUUGAGCGAGCCCAGUCCGCACCUCCAGCUGGCCUUCUCUCCUGCCUGCAGGCGCCAGGGAUGGGAAGAAAAAUAACUACAGUGUCUAUCAUUUGCUGAACACUGAAACACUAAAGUUUACGUGCCCAACAAACUUUAAAAGUCUAUUUUCUCAAAAAAGGGUCCCAACAAUCCAAAUGAAAGAAACCUAAUAUAUCCAUUUUAC
Long non-coding RNA from Bos taurus (domestic cattle), 2523 nucleotides. The record is from Ensembl. NCBI's taxonomy places the organism in Eukaryota, Metazoa, Chordata, Mammalia, Artiodactyla, Bovidae.